Molecule: long non-coding RNA, 290 nt
Organism: Prionailurus viverrinus (fishing cat)
Lineage: Eukaryota; Metazoa; Chordata; Mammalia; Carnivora; Felidae
Exons: 3
Source: RefSeq, a predicted model, not a curated record
UGUGCCUGGCACCACAAGGAUCAGCAAAGGAAGACAUAGCCUCUUUCCACAGACCUUACAGUUCCAGACGAGAUAACAUUCACAGGUUCCGGAAAUUACGAUGUCUUCUGGGAGGGGCCAUCAUUCAGCGGACCACACACCCAAACCCUGGUGGAUUAAACUGAAGUCGAUCUGUAAGCUUCCCAUGUGAUUCCAGCUGUGAAAACUACUGAGCUGAGCACCGACUACAGGAAGUCUGGCGGAGGCCCCAGCAAGCCCCCAGUUUCCAAUUUAGGAAGUCUGGCGGAGGC